This 460-nucleotide ribosomal RNA is filed under the name uncultured bacterium. RNAcentral's name for it is "partial 16S ribosomal RNA". It matches the Rfam family "Bacterial small subunit ribosomal RNA", at positions 338 to 795 of the family's 1533-position model. The record is from RNAcentral.
CCUACGGGAGGCAGCAGUGAGGAAUAUUGGUCAAUGGGCGCGAGCCUGAACCAGCCAAGUAGCGUGAAGGAUGACUGCCCUACGGGUUGUAAACCUCUUUUAUCAAGGAAUAAAGUGAGGCACGUGUGCCUUGUUGUAUGUACUUUAUGAAUAAGGAUCGGCUAACUCCGUGCCAGCAGCCGCGGUAAUACGGAGGAUGCGAGCGUUAUCCGGAUUUAUUGGGUUUAAAGGGAGCGUAGAUGGGUUGUUAAGUCAGGGGUGAAAGUUUGGGGCUCAACCGUAAGAUUGCAAUUGAGACUGGCAGUCUUGAGUACAGGUGAGGUAUGCGGAAUGCGUGGUGUAGCGGUGAAAUGCUUAGAUAUCGCGAAGAACUCCGAUUGCGAAGGCAGCUUACUAAAUUGCCACUGACAUUGAGGCUCGAAAGUGUGGGUAUCGAACAGGAUUAGAUACCCCAGUAGUC